RNAcentral lists this ribosomal RNA (484 nucleotides) under uncultured bacterium. RNAcentral describes it as "partial 16S ribosomal RNA". It matches the Rfam family "Bacterial small subunit ribosomal RNA", at positions 30 to 507 of the family's 1533-position model. The record is from RNAcentral.
AUUAAACGCUGGCGGCAGGCCUAACACAUGCAAGUCGAGCGGAUGAAGGGAGCUUGCUCCUGGAUUCAGCGGCGGACGGGUGAGUAAUGCCUAGGAAUCUGCCUGGUAGUGGGGGAUAACGUCCGGAAACGGGCGCUAAUACCGCAUACGUCCUGAGGGAGAAAGUGGGGGAUCUUCGGACCUCACGCUAUCAGAUGAGCCUAGGUCGGAUUAGCUAGUUGGUGGGGUAAAGGCCUACCAAGGCGACGAUCCGUAACUGGUCUGAGAGGAUGAUCAGUCACACUGGAACUGAGACACGGUCCAGACUCCUACGGGAGGCAGCUGUGGGGAAUAUUGGACAAUGGGCGAAAGCCUGAUCCAGCCAUGCCGCGUGUGUGAAGAAGGUCUUCGGAUUGUAAAGCACUUUAAGUUGGGAGGAAGGGCAGUAAGUUAAUACCUUGCUGUUUUGACGUUACCAACAGAAUAAGCACCGGCUAACUUCGUG